RNAcentral lists this ribosomal RNA (251 nucleotides) under uncultured bacterium. RNAcentral describes it as "partial 16S ribosomal RNA". It matches the Rfam family "Bacterial small subunit ribosomal RNA", at positions 81 to 334 of the family's 1533-position model. The record is from RNAcentral.
UACUUGGUGGCGACCGGCGCACGGGUGCGUAACGCGUAUGCAACCUACCUUUAACAGGGGCAUAACACUGAGAAAUUGGUACUAAUUCCCCAUAACAUUCGAGAAGGCAUCUUCUUGGGUUAAAAACUCCGGUGGUUAAAGAUGGGCAUGCGUUGUAUUAGCUAGUUGGUGAGGUAACGGCUCACCAAGGCAACGAUACAUAGGGGGACUGAGAGGUUAACCCCCCACAUUGGUACUGAGACACGGACCAA